This 669-nucleotide ribosomal RNA is filed under the name uncultured Alphaproteobacteria bacterium. Its description in RNAcentral is "bacterial SSU rRNA". It matches the Rfam family "Bacterial small subunit ribosomal RNA", at positions 64 to 774 of the family's 1533-position model. Lineage: Bacteria; Pseudomonadati; Pseudomonadota; Alphaproteobacteria. The record is from RNAcentral.
GAACGGGUGUAGCAAUACAUCAGUGGCAGACGGGUGAGUAACACGUGGGAACCUUCCUCGUUGUACGGAACAACUCAGGGAAACUUGAGCUAAUACCGUAUACGUCCGAGAGGAGAAAGAUUUAUCGCAAUGAGACGGGCCCGCGUCGGAUUAGCUAGUUGGUGGGGUAACGGCCUACCAAGGCGACGAUCCGUAGCUGAUCUGAGAGGAUGAUCAGCCACACUGGGACUGAGACACGGCCCAGACUCCUACGGGAGGCAGCAGUGGGGAAUGCUUGGACAAUGGGCGCAAGCCUGAUCCAGCCAUGCCGCGUGAGUGAAGAAGGCCUUCGGGUUGUAAAGCUCUUUUGUUCAGGGACGAUAAUGACGGUACCUGAAGAAUAGAGCCCCGGCAAACUUCGUGCCAGCAGCCGCGGUAAUACGAAGGGGGCUAGCGUUGUUCGGAAUUACUGGGCGUAAAGCGCACGUAGGCUGAUAGUUAAGUGAGGGGUGAAAUCCCGAGGCUCAACCUCGGAACUGCCCUUCAUACUGGCUAUCUCGAGUCCGGAAGAGGUUAGUGGAAUUCCCAGUGUAGAGGUGAGAUUCGUAGAUAUUGGGAAGAACACCAGUGGCGAAGGCGGCUAACUGGUCCGGUACUGACGCUGAGGUGCGAAAGCGUGGGGAGCAAACA